Molecule: long non-coding RNA, 102 nt
Organism: Thalassophryne amazonica
Lineage: Eukaryota; Metazoa; Chordata; Actinopteri; Batrachoidiformes; Batrachoididae
Exons: 3
Source: RefSeq, a predicted model, not a curated record
GACACAAACAAACAAUUUGAAAACAUUUGCAUAUUCAGAUAGAGGCGUGGCCAAGGAGGAGUUUGGUGCGUGUGCACAUGUUCACACAGCACUGUCCACACU